This 253-nucleotide ribosomal RNA is filed under the name uncultured bacterium. Its description in RNAcentral is "partial 16S ribosomal RNA". It matches the Rfam family "Bacterial small subunit ribosomal RNA", at positions 524 to 776 of the family's 1533-position model. The record is from RNAcentral.
UACAGAGGGUGCAAGCGUUAAUCGGAGUUACUGGGCGUAAAGGGCACGUAGGCGGCCGCUUAAGUCAGUUGUGAAAUCCCCGGGCUCAACCUGGGAACGGCAAAUGAUACUGGGCGGCUAGAGUCGAAGAGAGGGGAGCGGAAUUUCCGGUGUAGCGGUGAAAUGCGUAGAUAUCGGAAGGAACACCCGUGGCGAAGGCGGCUCCCUGGCUUCAGACUGACGCUGAGGUGCGAAAGCGUGGGUAGCGAACAGG